Long non-coding RNA from Micropterus dolomieu (smallmouth bass), 366 nucleotides. RefSeq lists it as uncharacterized. NCBI's taxonomy places the organism in Eukaryota, Metazoa, Chordata, Actinopteri, Centrarchiformes, Centrarchidae. The transcript is spliced from 3 exons. The record is from RefSeq and is a predicted model, not a curated record.
ACCUCCAGUCCCCUCUGAACUGUCUGUUUACAGUCAGAAAACAUCCAGAAUCAACAAAUAAACAACCAAACACACUUGUGUUUCAGCUACAUGGGAGUCAAUGUGAGGUGGAUUUUUAACAUGUUUGAGCUUCUCUGAGUAGGAAUGGCAGCUCUGGGGUUUUUGUACGAGGUUAUUUCACUGUGUUGGGGUUCCACAGUGAAUAAACUUCCACACAGAGCUGAACAAAAACCUCCAGUCCCCCCUAAACUGUCUGUUUACAGUCAGAAAACAUCCAGAAUCAACAAAUAAACAACCAAACACACUUGUGUUUCAGCUACAUGGGAGUCAAUGUGAGGUGGAUUUUUAACAUGUUUGAGCUUCUCU